RNAcentral lists this ribosomal RNA (450 nucleotides) under uncultured bacterium. RNAcentral describes it as "bacterial SSU rRNA". It matches the Rfam family "Bacterial small subunit ribosomal RNA", at positions 329 to 795 of the family's 1533-position model. The record is from RNAcentral.
UACCAGACUCCUACGGGAGGCAGCAGUGGGGGAUAUUGCACAAUGGGGGAAACCCUGAUGCAGCGACGCCGCGUGUGGGAAGACGGUCCUCUGGAUUGUAAACCACUGUCCCCAGGGACGAAGAUGACGGUACCUGGGGAGGAAGCUCCGGCUAACUACGUGCCAGCAGCCGCGGUAAUACGUAGGGAGCGAGCGUUGUCCGGAAUUACUGGGUGUAAAGGGAGCGUAGACGGCCAAGCAAGCCAGGGGUGAAAGCCCGGGCCCCAACCCCGGGACUGCCCUUGGAACUGCACGGCUGGAGUGCGGGAGGGGCAGGCGGAAUUCCUGGUGUAGCGGUGAAAUGCGUAGAUAUCAGGAGGAACACCGGCGGCGAAGGCGGCCUGCUGGACCGAAACUGACGUUGAGGCUCGAAAGCGUGGGGAGCAAACAGGAUUAGAUACCCCGGUAGAC